Molecule: ribosomal RNA, 486 nt
Filed under: uncultured bacterium
Lineage: Bacteria
Description: bacterial SSU rRNA
Rfam family: Bacterial small subunit ribosomal RNA
Source: RNAcentral
GACGAACGCUGGCGGCGUGCUUAACACAUGCAAGUCGAACGGUGACGAAUGGAGCUUGCUCUGUUCUGAUCAGUGGCGAACGGGUGAGUAACACGUGAGUAACCUGCCCCUGACUCUGGAAUAACUUCGGGAAACCGAAGCUAAUACCGGAUAUGACACAGAGCCGCAUGGUUUCUGUGUGGAAAGUUUUUCGGUUGGGGAUGGACUCGCGGCCUAUCAGCUUGUUGGUGAGGUAAUGGCUCACCAAGGCGACGACGGGUAGCCGGCCUGAGAGGGCGACCGGCCACACUGGGACUGAGACACGGCCCAGACUCCUACGGGAGGCAGCAGUGGGGAAUAUUGCACAAUGGGCGAAAGCCUGAUGCAGCGACGCCGCGUGAGGGAUGAAGGCCUUCGGUUGUAAACCUCUUUCAGUAGGAGAAGACGCAAGUGACGGUACCUACAGAAGAAGCACCGGCUAACUACGUGCCAGCAGCCGCGGUAACA